GGGAAGGUAGCUCAGUUGUAGAGUGCUUGCCUUGCAUGCAUGAGGCCCUGGGUUCGAUUCCUCAGCACCA
This is a non-coding RNA of Dipodomys ordii (Ord's kangaroo rat), 70 nucleotides long. The record is from Rfam. NCBI's taxonomy places the organism in Eukaryota, Metazoa, Chordata, Mammalia, Rodentia, Heteromyidae.